This is an RNA transcript of Ziziphus jujuba (common jujube), 1717 nucleotides long. It is a transcript of the gene named cysteine-rich receptor-like protein kinase 44, with no coding region annotated. The transcript has 5 exons. Lineage: Eukaryota; Viridiplantae; Streptophyta; Magnoliopsida; Rosales; Rhamnaceae. The record is from RefSeq and is a predicted model, not a curated record.
UUUUUUUUUCUUUCUUUUUUUUGGUUGUUUUUGGUUUUCUUUCUACUUUCCCUCUCGAUAGCUAGGGAUUCUUUCUACUUUCCCUUUCAAACACCUUCUUUGCACUCUCCACACCACUGAUAUCGCCUUCUCUAUUUGCACAUAUUUCCUCCAUUUUUGAACACCGCAUCUGCAAAACAAACUGUAAAGAAGCAGCCAAAUACGAGGUCACGAAACCAUCUGUUUUCACCUUCUGCCCAAUUCAGGUCUCGAAUCGCAUUUCUUCGACAGAUCUCGGCUCUUGGAGUCAGGUUUCCUUCUCUUCUCUUCCUCCUCUUCUCUCCAUUUACACCCUUGCUCUCUCUCUCUCUCUCUCUCUCUCUCUCUUUUAUUUUCUUCAACCUCUGGAAAACCUAGCUUACAGUUUCUUCUCAAAUAGCAAGGGGUUUGAAUUAUCUACAUGAGAAUUAUAAACUGAAGAUGGCACAUAGGGGUAUUAAAACUGCUAAUAUCCUUGUUGAUGAUGCUCUAAACGCUAAGAUAUCAGACUUUGGGAAUCCUAUCCUUUAUGCAGAGGAUGGACAGGACAAUGAAUUUAAGGUCAUCAAAGUAGAAGCAACACGUGGAUACAUCAUAAAUGGCUCUCGAGUACCCAAUGUAUGGAAAGAUAUUGCAAACAUAUAUGUCGAUGGUUAUGGUGUUGUUGUACUUGAAAUUGUUAGUGUGAAGAAAAAUGCAGAAAAUAAAUUCAACCAGAAGCAGCGUGAGUUUCUAGCAGAGGAGGCUUGUCUUGCAGAAUCAAAACACAAGUUGCUGGAAUUAGUGGAUAAUUGACCAUCUUAACGUUAGUGAUGAAGUGCAACAAUAUAUCCACCGCUGUCAGACCCACAACGUCUGAUGUUGUAAGUUCUCUCAUUGGCUGUUAGAGAAUAGUUAGUACAACUGAUGUUUGAAACAUUUAACAUAUCGGGCUUCUGUGCUUCAGAGCAAGCAGUAUUGUCACUCUAUGCAGUAGGACAAAUCUCAAGAUGCACUGUUGAUAUUGGCCAUGGAAAGAUAGAAAAGAAGAUGGGGUAGCUGCUGGAGUCUCGGAUCAUGGAAAAUGGGAGGAUCAGUGCUACUGAAAGCAUCGAUCCAUCACUCUUGGGUCAAUAAAGGAAUUCAAUUUUGACAGCACAAAGUCAGAAUUUUCAGAUAACCCUACCAAUGGCUCAGAGUGGUGGGCUAAUGAAAAAGUAGCUGGAAAGGAAUCUAAGCCUGGCAACGGUUGGACUUUCUUUCCCAUUUUGCAGCCAGGAGUCAGCUAACGUAGAAAAUAUUUCAUCAUAGCUUCCCCUCUGUGAAAGGACUUUGAAAUCAAUUGGAUUUGCAACUGUAAAGCAGCUAACCCAUCUGUUGUAAAUCUGGAGUUAUACAAUUUUGAAGAUACGCCUACAGCUUGGCAAAACUUUGGAUCAAAUUGUUGUUGGAUGAAUGGAUGGAUUGCAGAGAUGAAAGAACUGCUUAUGAAUGUGUUAGGAGCAGAAACAAGAUGCAGAGAGGAGAUAAUUUUCUAGGAAUUAGUGUGAGUACUGAUAGAGCAUUCUUUGUAAUAUUUCUUGAUGUUAUACAAAGGGAUAGCAUUCGCUUAUAGGGGGUUUUGUUGUGGACUACUUUUUCUUGUAAUGUGUAACAAUAAAAAAAUGAAGAAGCUCAUAUUUCCACAUUUUUUAAGAGACCUCUAAAUCAUUUGGUGAUC